This 253-nucleotide ribosomal RNA is filed under the name uncultured bacterium. RNAcentral's name for it is "partial 16S ribosomal RNA". It matches the Rfam family "Bacterial small subunit ribosomal RNA", at positions 524 to 776 of the family's 1533-position model. The record is from RNAcentral.
UACGUAGGGUGCGAGCGUUAAUCGGAAUUACUGGGCGUAAAGCGUGCGCAGGCGGUUCGUUAUGUCCGAUGUGAAAGCCCCGAGCUCAACUUGGGAAUGGCAUUGGAAACUGGCGGGCUGGAGUGUGGCAGAGGGGGGUGGAAUUCCACGUGUAGCAGUGAAAUGCGUAGAGAUGCGGAGGAACACCGAUGGCGAAGGCAGCCCCCUGGGCCAACACUGACGCUCAGGCACGAAAGCGUGGGGAGCAAACAGG